This 1041-nucleotide long non-coding RNA is filed under the name Homo sapiens (human). Its description in RNAcentral is "HSALNT0329316". Lineage: Eukaryota; Metazoa; Chordata; Mammalia; Primates; Hominidae. The record is from RNAcentral.
AUCAGGCAACUUCUUUCCAUGAAAGUGAGAUCUGUGCGUCUUGAAGCCGAUAGAUUAUCACAGAAAAACCAGCAACCCUGAUUUUAAAUCAUUUGCCAACAGUGUUAAUGGGCGGUUCCUAAUCCGUUUCUUAAUUUAAGGGUUUGUAAAAUCAAAAAACAGCUCAGAAAUGAUACGAUUAACAUAUGACGGUGAGUAACUACGAGAGCAAGCUGUUUCAUACUCCGUUAAAAUCAGGUUGGCCGGACGCGGUGGCUCACGCCUGUAAUCCCAGUAAUUUGGGAGGCUAAGGCGGGUGGAUCACAAGGUCAGGAGUUCAAGACCAGCCUGGCCAACAUGGUGAAACCCUGUCUCUACUAAAAAUCCACAAAUUAGCCGGGUGUGGUGAUGGGCGCCUGUAAUCCCAGCUACUGAGGAGGCUGAGGCAGAGAAGUGCUUGAACCCGGGAGGCAGAAGUUGCAGUGAGCCAAGAUCACGCCACAAAGAAAUGUAUCAGAUUUAAGUUGGGUUGAUCUCAAAGUGAAGGAUGGAGAAAUGAAUUCUCUAUUGUCAUAAGGAAAAGGGAAGUCAUGAAGUUAGAAGGAAUUCCAUCAUCACUUGGGAGAUUUCUGCGAAUCAUCACUAAAGCCAUUCACUUUCUCAUAACUAAACAAGAAUCUUCUUCUGGAGUUAAGUAUCAGAUAUGAAUGUUCUCACUGACCUCAGGAAGCAAAAGUCCUAAAUCAUUAUAUGGCAGUGAAGGUACAAAAAAAAAAAAAAAUCAGCAGGAAAUAAAGCGGAACUGCUGCCAACACAUACAAGCUGCAGUAGCACCCACAAAAUGUGUAGUAUCUAUUCUAACACAUUCAUUGGACUGAUUACAUUGGCUCAUAGACUUGGUUAACUCUGGAAGAACAUAAUAGGUGUUUAUUGUUUACUAUGGGGAUGGGAAACAUAAUUAAGUCUAUAGUCUCCAAUUCUUCUCAAGUUCAAAUGAAACCAACACUUUUGGUUUUGUCUUAACAUUCAGGAUGUGUUUCUAAUUAAACUGAAAUCACAGUA